This is a long non-coding RNA of Papilio xuthus (Asian swallowtail), 604 nucleotides long. RefSeq lists it as uncharacterized. NCBI's taxonomy places the organism in Eukaryota, Metazoa, Arthropoda, Insecta, Lepidoptera, Papilionidae. The transcript has 3 exons. The record is from RefSeq and is a predicted model, not a curated record.
CAACCUGUGUAAGACGCACGGAAACAUUUCAACAUGCGAUUUAUUCUUUUGUUGUCGAUCAUCUUCUUUGCGAUGUACUUGACUGACGCUGAUGAUUCAUCUUGUGUUUGCUCAACAUUAUUUUCACCAGUUUGCGCCACUAACGGACGGACUUAUAGUAACAAUUGCAGCUUGGUUUGCGAUGGUGCCACUUUAAGUUAUAAUGGGCGAUGUAAUGAAAGAAAAUAAUGGAUUGCACCGAUCCAGAUUUUGCAACACGUACCAAGAACUCAUCAUCAUCAUCAUCAACUUACUAUCCGUCCCCACUGAGGGGCUCGAAGCUUAUCCUAGUUAGGGGUGACUAGGCCAUAGUCAACCACGCUGACCAAGUGCGGGUUGAUUUCACACAUAUCUUUGAAUUUCUUCUCAAAUAUGUGCAGCAUCACGAUGUUUUCCUUCACCGUAAGAACGUCGAAUAAAUGUACGUAUGUAAAUCGGAAAUCGAAAAACACAUUAGUACCUGGCGGGAUUCGAACCCAGGACCUGCAGAUUGCAAGUCAAGCGUCAAGCCAAGAACUCGUUUGGUCUAUAUAUCAUCAUAUAACCGUUGGUUCACUUUGGUACU